GAUGAAGAACGUAGCGAAAUGCGAUAAGUAAUGUGAAUUGCAGAAUUCAGUGAAUCAUCGAAUCUUUGAACGCACCUUGCGCCUCUUGGUAUUCCGAGGGGCAUGCCUGUCCGAGCGUCAUUUGCAACCCUCAAGCCCGGCUUGUGUGAUGGGUGCCGUCCCCUACGGGACGCGCCCCGAAGGCAAUGGCGGCGUCGCGGUUAUCCGAUCAGCCAAAGUGUAUGGGGCUUUGUCACUCACUUUACGGCCCGGACCGGCGCCAGUCCGAAUCAAUCUUUUUUCUAAAGUUGACCUCGGAUCAGGUAGGGAUACCCGCUGAACUUAAGCAUAUCAAUAAGCGGAGGA
This 345-nucleotide unclassified non-coding RNA is filed under the name soil metagenome. Its description in RNAcentral is "partial contains 5.8S ribosomal RNA, internal transcribed spacer 2, and large subunit ribosomal RNA". The stretch from base 1 to 120 matches the Rfam family "5.8S ribosomal RNA", at positions 35 to 154 of the family's 154-position model. The record is from RNAcentral.